AAAUUGAAGAGUUUGAUCAUGGCUCAGAUUGAACGCUGGCGGCAGGCCUAACACAUGCAAGUCGAACGGUAACAGGAAGAAGCUUGCUUCUUUGCUGACGAGUGGCGGACGGGUGAGUAAUGUCUGGGAAACUGCCUGAUGGAGGGGGAUAACUACUGGAAACGGUAGCUAAUACCGCAUAACGUCGCAAGACCAAAGAGGGGGACCUUCGGGCCUCUUGCCAUCGGAUGUGCCCAGAUGGGAUUAGCUAGUAGGUGGGGUAACGGCUCACCUAGGCGACGAUCCCUAGCUGGUCUGAGAGGAUGACCAGCCACACUGGAACUGAGACACGGUCCAGACUCCUACGGGAGGCAGCAGUGGGGAAUAUUGCACAAUGGGCGCAAGCCUGAUGCAGCGAUGCCGCGUGUAUGAAGAAGGCCUU
This 421-nucleotide ribosomal RNA is filed under the name Escherichia coli. RNAcentral's name for it is "bacterial SSU rRNA". It matches the Rfam family "Bacterial small subunit ribosomal RNA", at positions 1 to 418 of the family's 1533-position model. Lineage: Bacteria; Pseudomonadati; Pseudomonadota; Gammaproteobacteria; Enterobacterales; Enterobacteriaceae. The record is from RNAcentral.